UGGGGAAUAUUGCACAAUGGGCGAAAGCCUGAUGCAGCAACGCCGCGUGAGUGAUGAAGGCCUUCGGGUUGUAAAGCUCUGUCUUUUGGGACGAUAAUGACGGUACCAAAGGAGGAAGCCACGGCUAACUACGUGCCAGCAGCCGCGGUAAUACGUAGGUGGCAAGCGUUGUCCGGAUUUACUGGGCGUAAAGGAUGCGUAGGCGGAUUUUUAAGUGAGAUGUGAAAUACCCGGGCUUAACUUGGGUGCUGCAUUUCAAACUGGGAGUCUAGAGUGCGGGAGAGGAGAAUGGAAUUCCUAGUGUAGCGGUGAAAUGCGUAGAGAUUAGGAAGAACACCAGUGGCGAAGGCGAUUCUCUGGACCGUAACUGACGCUGAGGCAUGAAAGCGUGGGUAGCAAACAGGAUUAGAUACCCUGGUAGUCCACGCCGUAAACGAUGAGUACUAGGUGUAGGAGGUAUCGACCCCUUCUGUGCCGCAGUUAACACAAUCAAGUACUCCGCCUGGGAAGUACGAUCGCAAGAUUAAAACUGCAAAGGAAUUGACGGGGGUCAAUAGC
This 558-nucleotide ribosomal RNA is filed under the name uncultured bacterium. Its description in RNAcentral is "partial 16S ribosomal RNA". It matches the Rfam family "Bacterial small subunit ribosomal RNA", at positions 355 to 930 of the family's 1533-position model. The record is from RNAcentral.